RNAcentral lists this non-coding RNA (108 nucleotides) under Dongibacter bovis. RNAcentral describes it as "FMN riboswitch (RFN element)". It matches the Rfam family "FMN riboswitch aptamer (RFN element)". From Rfam's summary of the family: The RFN element is a highly conserved domain that is found frequently in the 5'-untranslated regions of prokaryotic mRNAs that encode for flavin mononucleotide (FMN) biosynthesis and transport proteins. The record is from RNAcentral. Lineage: Bacteria; Bacillati; Bacillota; Negativicutes; Selenomonadales; Selenomonadaceae.
CUCUUUAGGGCGGGGUGUGAUUCCCCACCGGCGGUAUAGCCCGCGAGCCCCCUGGGGCAUGAUUCGGUGAGACUCCGAGGCCGACAGUAUAGUCUGGAUGAGAAAAGA